Molecule: long non-coding RNA, 285 nt
Filed under: Nicotiana benthamiana
Lineage: Eukaryota; Viridiplantae; Streptophyta; Magnoliopsida; Solanales; Solanaceae
Description: long non-coding RNA (NBEN_LNC036676)
Source: RNAcentral
GAUUUGUUACUUAUCAAUUUUUGACCCUUGGUUGUUUGCUUUUACAUAGUAUAGUAUAGUUUCCAAUUAAGUAGUUGGCGAUGGCUAGCUUUCUCAAAAUUUGAUCCCAGCUGAUAAUAUAACUUUGGUUUUUGACCUUAAGUAAUUAAUUAGGGUCAAUUUAUGACCAAUGGAUGAGCAUAAAAACAACCUUCUGUAACAUUCUAGUGAAAGGUCAAAAUGCAAUUUCUGUUAAUUCUUCCUCAAAACUAGAGGCACAAGUCCGAAAAUAAGGGAUCAAUUAAG